This is a non-coding RNA of Ficedula albicollis (Collared flycatcher), 46 nucleotides long. Lineage: Eukaryota; Metazoa; Chordata; Aves; Passeriformes; Muscicapidae. The record is from Rfam.
CAAGUGGACUUUUUUGAGUCCACUAAAUAAAUAAAAAAGAACUAAA